UGGCUCAGUUGGUAGAGCAUGGUGUGUGGAACGCCAGAGUUGUGGGUUCGAUUCCCAC
Non-coding RNA from Salmo salar (Atlantic salmon), 58 nucleotides. The record is from Rfam. Lineage: Eukaryota; Metazoa; Chordata; Actinopteri; Salmoniformes; Salmonidae.